Sardina pilchardus (European sardine) is the source of this 895-nucleotide long non-coding RNA. RefSeq lists it as uncharacterized. The record is from RefSeq and is a predicted model, not a curated record. NCBI's taxonomy places the organism in Eukaryota, Metazoa, Chordata, Actinopteri, Clupeiformes, Clupeidae. The transcript is spliced from 6 exons.
UCGUUAUGAAUGUAAAGUUUUAGUUUGAAUGAAAUGGUCUAGGCUAUCAGUCUUGAAUGUUAGCUAACCUAGCUAGAAGCUAUACCUUACAUUUAAAGUGGCUGCUGCUGACGUGAACUUUAACGUUACAGAGACAGGCGGCUGACCCACGUCAAUACCGAAGUAAAUGCCAGGGAUCUUUAGUUUGUGAAAGGCGGUGAGUUGUGACGACUGCUGUCCUGAGACCAUUGAGUGCAGUCUGGAAUAUUCCAAAUGUGUGCCAGUUCCAUAAGGAAAAAGUUCCAAUCAAGAGUACACUCACCAGUGGGCUCAAUAGUCCAGGACAAAGUCGGUCUGUCCUUCUACUACUACAUGCUACUUGACUUUGUCUGGAAGCCAUGGAUGCUGCCCUCAACAUGCUAAACCCUCACAAAUAAACUGAUAUCAAGAAUUAACAUUGAUGGUGAUGAUGGAAAGGCCUUCAUAAGGUAAUAAGGUGCCCUCCAACAACCCCAGCCUGGAGCCAGAGGCUGGUACUGCACAUCAGAUGGGGUAUGAUCUGUGCUAGGCAUCAGAAAGGUGGUCUACGCAAGAAGGCAAGAGCUUCUGCAGACAGUGUUGCAAUUAGACACCUGACCUUUACUGCCAAAGGGAUCCCCAUCAGAGCACCUCUGCCUUCCCUGCAGGACAACUAUACCAGAAGAGUACGGGCAUGGACUCAACAUGUUUUAAAGGACAUUUCACGCCCAGACCAUGGACUGUUGAGACCACUGAGGUCAAGCAGAAGUCUUGUUCUCACUCGAGACAGGUCAUUGACAGGCGGCGAGUGUCACUACCCAAGUACCCCCACUGCAGACGAGAAAGCCAUAUUGAUUUGAGUAUUUCUUGAUAAAUACAAUAAAGACCAUGUAACAAA